Molecule: ribosomal RNA, 465 nt
Filed under: uncultured Klebsiella sp.
Lineage: Bacteria; Pseudomonadati; Pseudomonadota; Gammaproteobacteria; Enterobacterales; Enterobacteriaceae
Description: bacterial SSU rRNA
Rfam family: Bacterial small subunit ribosomal RNA
Source: RNAcentral
CCUACGGGAGGCAGCAGUGGGGAAUAUUGCACAAUGGGCGCAAGCCUGAUGCAGCCAUGCCGCGUGUGUGAAGAAGGCCUUCGGGUUGUAAAGCACUUUCAGCGGGGAGGAAGGCGGUGAGGUUAAUAACCUCAUCGAUUGACGUUACCCGCAGAAGAAGCACCGGCUAACUCCGUGCCAGCAGCCGCGGUAAUACGGAGGGUGCAAGCGUUAAUCGGAAUUACUGGGCGUAAAGCGCACGCAGGCGGUCUGUCAAGUCGGAUGUGAAAUCCCCGGGCUCAACCUGGGAACUGCAUUCGAAACUGGCAGGCUAGAGUCUUGUAGAGGGGGGUAGAAUUCCAGGUGUAGCGGUGAAAUGCGCAGAGAUCUGGAGGAAUACCGGUGGCGAAGGCGGCCCCCUGGACAAAGACUGACGCUCAGGUGCGAAAGCGUGGGGAGCAAACAGGAUUAGAUACCCGUGUAGUC